Molecule: non-coding RNA, 191 nt
Filed under: Mucilaginibacter polytrichastri
Lineage: Bacteria; Pseudomonadati; Bacteroidota; Sphingobacteriia; Sphingobacteriales; Sphingobacteriaceae
Source: RNAcentral
AAAAUCUUCAGCAGCAGAGGUUUCCGGUUAGCGCCGGGACUAAGAAGGAACCGUGUGUAAAUCACGGGCUGUCGCGCAACUGUAAGUAACACAAAAGGUUAAGCCAAUAAUGCCCAUUGUUUCUAUAAAAGAGAUGAGAAGGGCGGCUUAAUGUUACAAGCCAGGAGACUUGCCCCCGCUGUAUUAAAGAC